UGCUAUUCAAGGAAUGCUGCUGCUCU
Molecule: non-coding RNA, 26 nt
Filed under: Mus musculus (house mouse)
Lineage: Eukaryota; Metazoa; Chordata; Mammalia; Rodentia; Muridae
Source: RNAcentral